GAUGAAGAACGUAGCAAAAUGCGAUAAGUAAUGUGAAUUGCAGAAUUCAGUGAAUCAUCGAAUCUUUGAACGCACAUUGCGCCCGCCAGUAUUCUGGCGGGCAUGCCUGUUCGAGCGUCAUUUCAACCCUCAAGCACAGCUUGGUGUUGGGACUCGCGUUAAUUCGCGUUCCUCAAAUUGAUUGGCGGUCACGUCGAGCUUCCAUAGCGUAGUAGUAAAACCCUCGUUACUGGUAAUCGUCGCGGCCACGCCGUUAAACCCCAACUUCUGAAUGUUGACCUCGGAUCAGGUAGGAAUACCCGCUGAACUUAAGCAUAUCAAUAAACGGAGGA
Molecule: unclassified non-coding RNA, 332 nt
Filed under: soil metagenome
Description: partial contains 5.8S ribosomal RNA, internal transcribed spacer 2, and large subunit ribosomal RNA
Rfam family: 5.8S ribosomal RNA (bases 1-120)
Source: RNAcentral